GCCCCUGUGCCCCGACUGCCGCUCGCCCCGCCGCUCGCCACUGAGUUUGCUCUGCUCAGCAUCCUCAGUCCUGCGGUCCGUGACCCAACAGGUUCCCGAGCUCUGCCACUUCCCAAGCAGGUGUUCCUCAAAUCCCCCUGUUCCCCGAGCAUCCCGGUCCCAGGCACGGAGCUCCCCGGGCAGCCGGGCAGCGGGGCCGGCAGCAGAGAGAAGCAGACCCGUGAAGGUGCCCCGGCCUCCAUGGAGAGAAGGGUUCCCGUGCGCGCUACCUGGUCCUGUGCGGUGCCGGGACCCACGGAGUGUCCCCACGCAGGGUCCCCCCAGAGGUC
Ficedula albicollis (Collared flycatcher) is the source of this 329-nucleotide long non-coding RNA. RefSeq lists it as uncharacterized. The record is from RefSeq and is a predicted model, not a curated record. Lineage: Eukaryota; Metazoa; Chordata; Aves; Passeriformes; Muscicapidae. The transcript has 3 exons.